Molecule: ribosomal RNA, 492 nt
Filed under: uncultured bacterium
Lineage: Bacteria
Description: partial 16S ribosomal RNA
Rfam family: Bacterial small subunit ribosomal RNA
Source: RNAcentral
AGUGAACGCUGGCGGUAGGCCUAACACAUGCAAGUCGAACGGCAGCACAUUAAGAGCUUGCUCUUACGGGUGGCGAGUGGCGGACGGGUGAGGAAUACAUCGGAAUCUACUUUUUCGUGGGGGAUAACGCAGGGAAACUUACGCUAAUACCGCAUACGACCUACGGGUGAAAGCAGGGGAUCUUCGGACCUUGCGCGAUUGAAUGAGCCGAUGUCGGAUUAGCUAGUUGGCGGGGUAAGGGCCCACCAAGGCGACGAUCCGUAGCUGGUCUGAGAGGAUGAUCAGCCACACUGGAACUGAGACACGGUCCAGACUCCUACGGGAGGCAGCAGUGGGGAAUAUUGGACAAUGGGCGCAAGCCUGAUCCAGCCAUACCGCGUGGGUGAAGAAGGCCUUCGGGUUGUAAAGCCCUUUUGUUGGGAAAGAAAAGCAGCAGGUUAAUACCCCGCUGUUCUGACGGUACCCAAAGAAUAAGCACCGGCUAACUUCGUG